Molecule: ribosomal RNA, 301 nt
Filed under: uncultured bacterium
Lineage: Bacteria
Description: partial 16S ribosomal RNA
Rfam family: Bacterial small subunit ribosomal RNA
Source: RNAcentral
CAGUCGCCGCGGUAAUGCGUAGGUGGCAAGCGUUGUCCGGAAUUAUUGGGCGUAAAGCGCGCGUAGGCGGUUUUUUAAGUCUGAUGUGAAAGCCCACGGCUCAACCGUGGAGGGUCAUUGGAAACUGGAGAACUUGAGUGCAGAAGAGGAAAGUGGAAUUCCAUGUGUAGCGGUGAAAUGCGCAGAGAUAUGGAGGAACACCAGUGGCGAAAGCGGCUCUCUGGUCUGUCACUGACGCUGAGGCUCGAAAGCGUGGGUAGCGAACAGGAUUAGAUACCCCGGUAGUCCCUGUCUCUUAUAC